Molecule: long non-coding RNA, 849 nt
Organism: Thunnus maccoyii (southern bluefin tuna)
Lineage: Eukaryota; Metazoa; Chordata; Actinopteri; Scombriformes; Scombridae
Exons: 3
Source: RefSeq, a predicted model, not a curated record
UAGGCCUCCUACCAGACCCACCAAAAACAAAAAGAACUGACAAAGGGAAAACACUAAAACAUGUCAGCUACAUGUAACCAGGUGGUCAAAUAAUAAUAUUUAUGGAAAUAAUAUCCAUGCUGAGGAACUUCUCCAUUGUUUCUAUCUAUCUAUCUAGCUGGGGAUGCUCAUGUUGGACAGCAGGGGGUGUGAGUUUACCACUUAGUGCAGCGAUAUGCCUGCUGAGUGGACAGGGAAUGCUGGGAAAAAUACAGGAAGUACAACAUAAUGCGCUACUUUCUGCUGAGAAUAGCCACUGGUUCCAACGGCGAGAGUAUUUAUCAGGAUUGCAGAUGUUGGUGGAUUGAAAGCCACACGUGCGGAGCACAGCUUGCUAUCCGUGAAUUUGCACUGCAAUUGAAAAUCAAUUGAGGGAUGAUGAAUGGGGGCCAUUAGCUGCUGUGGCGCCGGGCUGGAUCCAGUAAAUAAAGGCUGGCGAUAAACACGGCGGUCGACGCGGUCUGAGAAGCCGGCGGAGACGUUCGUUAGACCGGCAGCCAAGUGUCAGAGUUGAUGAAUGGUUCGACUCUGAGAAGACCCCUGAAGACUAUAAAUUAUAUUUCCAGUGUUAACUUAAUGGAGAAACACAAAUCAUCCACAGCAGCAGCACACCGAGAGCAGAGGAACCUGAGAGUCCUGGACCAGAACCAUGAAGAGUUCAUCUCUAAUAAAACUUUAUUCAUCAUAGAAGAGUCUUUACUUAAAAGUUAAAACAUCCUGAAAACCUCUGCAGAUGCAGGGCACACCUCAGUCUCCAUCACGCUGUAUGUCAGGCUGAAUUCUGUGUCCAAAUUUAGGUUUAAUUUUCUG